Molecule: transfer RNA, 73 nt
Filed under: Alloscardovia omnicolens
Lineage: Bacteria; Bacillati; Actinomycetota; Actinomycetes; Bifidobacteriales; Bifidobacteriaceae
Also listed under: 5 other names
Description: tRNA-Ala
Rfam family: tRNA
About the family: Transfer RNA (tRNA) molecules are approximately 80 nucleotides in length. Their secondary structure includes four short double-helical elements and three loops (D, anti-codon, and T loops). Further hydrogen bonds mediate the characteristic L-shaped molecular structure. tRNAs have two regions of fundamental functional importance: the anti-codon, which is responsible for specific mRNA codon recognition, and the 3' end, to which the tRNAs corresponding amino acid is attached (by aminoacyl-tRNA synthetases). tRNAs cope with the degeneracy of the genetic code in two manners: having more than one tRNA (with a specific anti-codon) for a particular amino acid; and 'wobble' base-pairing, i.e. permitting non-standard base-pairing at the 3rd anti-codon position.
Source: RNAcentral
GGGGCUAUGGCGCAGCUGGUAGCGCAUCUGCAUGGCAUGCAGGGGGUCACGGGUUCGAAUCCCGUUAGCUCCA